AACGCUGGCGGCGUGCUUAACACAUGCAAGUCGAACGGAAAGGCCCCUUUGGGGGUACUCGAGUGGCGAACGGGUGAGUAACACGUGAGUAACCUGCCCUUGACUUCGGGAUAACUUCAGGAAACUGGGGCUAAUACCGGAUAGGAAUCCUUGCUGCAUGGUGGGGGUUGGAACGCUUCGGCGGUUUUGGAUGGACUCGCGGCUUAUCAGCUUGUUGGUGGGGUAGUGGCUUACCAAGGCUUUGACGGGUAGCCGGCCUGAGAGGGCGACCGGCCACAUUGGGACUGAGAUACGGCCCAGACUCCUACGGGAGGCAGCAGGGGGGAAUAUUGCACAAUGGGCGGAAGCCUGAUGCAGCAACGCCGCGGGCGGGAUGACGGCCUUCGGGUUGUAAACCGCUUUCAGCAGGGGCGAAGCUUGUGGUGACGGUACCUGCAGAAGAAGCACCGGCUAACUACGUG
Molecule: ribosomal RNA, 461 nt
Filed under: uncultured bacterium
Lineage: Bacteria
Description: partial 16S ribosomal RNA
Rfam family: Bacterial small subunit ribosomal RNA
Source: RNAcentral